Triticum aestivum (bread wheat) is the source of this 2357-nucleotide RNA transcript. RefSeq lists it as uncharacterized. Lineage: Eukaryota; Viridiplantae; Streptophyta; Magnoliopsida; Poales; Poaceae. The record is from RefSeq and is a predicted model, not a curated record. The transcript is spliced from 3 exons.
CCUUCCAUUGCCCCGGCUUCGCCCAAGGGCGCCGUCUUUCUCCGAAACCCUUCCCAAAACCCGAGGCACGCCGGCGGCCGCCGCCGUCCGUCCACGCGCGGCACCACUUCCUAUGGCCCGGCGUCUGCUCCACCUCCGGCCCCGCCUCCAGGCGCUCGCCCCCCGCCUCGUCCCUUCGCGGCAGUACAUGUCCGACAUGCGCCGCUCCGUCUUCCUCGACCGCCUCCUCCGCUCCCUCCGCUCCGAGAUCUCCUCCUGCCGCGCCGAGCCCGCCCCGCGGCCGCCGCCCUCCGCCGCGCCGUUCGCCCUCGACGACCGUCCCGGCGAGCAGUGGGUCCGCCUCCGCCGCGCGUUCGGGGAGCAGCAGGAGGAGGAGGUCAGGGUGGAUGCCUCGAUGGUCGACGGCGCCGUGGCGCCCACCCGCUCGGGCGUGGCCGCGGAAGACGGCGGGCCACAGGACAGGAUGCACAUUAGCGUCCACGUCGAGGUCUCCAAGCCCGCGCGGCCUGACUUUGCGCUCAAGUUCGAGUGCUCUGCCUGGCCCGAGGAGAUGGACGUGGAGAGGGUCUUCCCCGUCCGCCGCAGCGGGCCAACGCCGGAGCAGCAAUACAUGGGCCGCCAGUUCAGGGAGUUAGAUGAGGAGAUGCAAACCGCAGUGCGUGAUUACCUGGAGCAGAGAGGGGUGAAUGACGAGCUAGCUGCAUUCCUGCACACGUACAUGGAAAACAAGGAGCAGACGGAGCUUGUAGGGUGGCUUAAAAAUAUCGAGUGCUAUCUGAAGAAGUAGGCAGCAUCUUCUUGGCACUUUGAGUUAGAUUAUUAUUACUUGGUGUUUUACAAAAGUUAACACAGACAAAUUGGGAUGUUGCCACAGCAUCAAAAAGUCCUUGCUCUUUCAGAAGACGUGACAAGAACUGGGAUGUUGGUGUUUCAGCAUCAAAUUGGGAUGUUGUUGGAGUUUCCAGGUAUUGAAUUUGUUGUAUCAUCACGGCAGCAUAUAUUCUGACGAACCAAGAUACUGAGCCUAGCCACCAGUAGUACAAUGCACGGCUGCACCUAGGGCACUUACAGUUGCACAAAUGCAGGGACCGUCCUUGGUGGCGGCAUUGAUGGAGUUUUUACUGUACUCUGUUAUCUCGUAGAAUACGGUACAUGUCAUAUAGAUGCAGGAACCGUCCCUGGAAACAGGAUUGAUGGAGUUCCUUACUGUACCAAUCCUGUUGUCUCCCAGGAUACGGUACAAACAGCUAGCCAUACAGAGAUCGAGCAUUAAAAUUCAUGCCUUCAGCCCUUUCAGAGGUUUAGGUAACACAAGCAACUGAUGGAUUCAUAGCAAAAGCAAUGCACGCAACUUGAAUUUCAUCUUGGUACAGUAUAGUUAUAGUUGUAUACAUACACUAAGUUAGCAAGUUCAAAAGGAUCCUUCUGCACAAACCGUUCAUUAGGAUUUCUCGGCUUCAUCUACUUCCAUUGACCCAUUUUGUGCCAAAAAUUGGCUAUCCAGCAUAUUGGCAUGCCAAGAUUUGACGACUCCAAAGCUUGCCAAAGAUUGCCAAGUUUUGAGAGAUUGGCAAAGUAAGUUGGUUGCCAACCAAUUGAUAGCCAAUCUUUUGCCUUGCCUGCAUAUUGGACAAGGCAAGCACUUAAACUGACCUUUUCAGGUAAGUCAAGGACGCCAUCUUGGACUUUCUUGUGUACUCUUUCAGCGGUCAGAAUGAAUGCCUACAUUACAUAAUGAUGCAAAAUUAUCCUAAAGGAAGCGUAAUUGUACCCGAUGUACAGGGGAUCAAAUCAAAAUUACCUCAUCAACAUUUUGUGUGGUUUUUGCAGAGGCCUCCAUAAACACGAGAUCGUGCCUCUCGGCGAACUCUCGCCCUUCCUCGUAGCUGACCGCACGCAUGUGAGACAGAUCGCAUUUGUUUCCGAUCAGCGCCAAUGUUACGCCGGCUCUCGAUAGCUCUCUUGCUCUUUCAAGCAAUGUAGCAAUAUGAUCAAAAGUCUCCCUCCUGAAGCAAGGGAGUUAGAUGAGGAGAUGCAAAGUGCAGUGCGUGAUUACCUGGAGCAGAGAGGGGUGAAUGACGAGCUAGCAGCAUUCCUGCACACGUACAUGGAAAACAAGGAGCAGACCGAGCUUGUAGGGUGGCUUAAAAAUAUCGAGUGCUAUCUGAAGAAGUAGACAGCAUCUUCUUGGCACUUUGAGUUAGAUUAUUAUUACUUGGUGUUUUACAAAAGUUAACACAGACAAAUUGGGUUGUUGCCACAGCAUCAAAAAGUCCUUGCUCUUUCAGAAGACGUGACAAGAAUUGGGAUGUUGGUGUUUCAGCGUCAAAUUGGGAUGUUGUUGGAGUUUCCAGGUA